RNAcentral lists this ribosomal RNA (329 nucleotides) under uncultured eukaryote. RNAcentral's name for it is "partial 18S ribosomal RNA". It matches the Rfam family "Eukaryotic small subunit ribosomal RNA", at positions 1470 to 1796 of the family's 1831-position model. The record is from RNAcentral.
CCCUUAGAUGUUCUGGGCCGCACGCGCGCUACACUGACGAAUGCAACGAGCUUAUAACCUUGGCCGAAAGGUCUGGGUAAUCUCCAAAUUUCGUCGUGAUGGGGAUAGAUUAUUGCAAUUAUUAAUCUUCAACGAGGAAUGCCUAGUAAGCGCAAGUCAUCAGCUUGCGUUGAUUACGUCCCUGCCCUUUGUACACACCGCCCGUCGCUACUACCGAUUGAAUGAUUUAGUGAGGACUUCGGACUGGGACCGAUGCGGCUUUCGGGCUGCGUCGGUAUUCUGGAAAGAUGUCCAAACUGUAUCAUUUAGAGGAAGUAAAANUCGUAGCA